ACAUUUCUUUUAGUUUCUAUUAAAGGUAAUUUCUGCCCAAUGAUUAAAUUUAAAUGGCUGCAGUAUUUUGACUGUACAAAGGUAGCAUAAUAAAUAGUCUUUUAAUUGGGGACUCGAAUGAAUGAAAAAAUGAGAUAUCAAUUUUAUUUUAAAUAUUAUUAUAAUUUAAUUUUUAAGUUAAAAAGCUUAAUUAUAUUAUUGGGACGAUAAGACCCUAUAGAACUUAACUAGAAUUAUUAAAUUGAUUUGGUUUAAUAAUUAUUUAUAAAUAGUUUAAUUGGGGUGAUUAAUAAAUUUAUUUUACUUUAUUUUUUAUAUUCAUUUCUAUAUGUUUUUUUGUUCCAUUUAAUAAUGAUUAAAAGUUAAAGUUACCUUAGGGAUAACAGCGUAAUUUUAAUGGGGAGUUCAUAUCUAUAUUAAAGUUUGCGACCUCGAUGUUGAAUUAAGAUAAAAUCAGGGGGUAGAUUCUUUGUAUUUAAGUCUGUUCGACUUUUAAUUUCUUACAUGAUCUG
Molecule: ribosomal RNA, 512 nt
Filed under: Macropsis notata
Lineage: Eukaryota; Metazoa; Arthropoda; Insecta; Hemiptera; Cicadellidae
Description: partial large subunit ribosomal RNA
Rfam family: Bacterial large subunit ribosomal RNA (bases 379-512)
Source: RNAcentral